Molecule: long non-coding RNA, 445 nt
Filed under: Physcomitrium patens
Lineage: Eukaryota; Viridiplantae; Streptophyta; Bryopsida; Funariales; Funariaceae
Description: long non-coding RNA (PPAT_LNC013540)
Source: RNAcentral
GUCAAUACUUGUAUCAAGAAAAUCAUAUUUUUUUUCUUUUUUCUUUCUUGAAUCAAAUAUUAAAAUAAAUUUUCAUUUAAUGAAAAAUUACACGUGGACUGUUCCAUAAAACAAAUGAAUAAAAUAGAACCAUUACAACUUUAAAUGCUUGAAGUCUGAUAAUUUGUAUUCUUCUAUUUGAGAAGAUUUGUUUGGUUGCAUAGUUCAAACAAUUCAAACUUUUAUAUUCAAAAUGGUCUAAGGAAUAAUAAUUCUCAUCAAGAGAACAUAUCCACAAAUAAUUAUUAAAAACAUAGAUGAUGCCUUUGCAUACAGUUAUUUACUCCUAUAUAUGUAAAAGGAAAGCUUAUUUAUUUAUUUAUUUUAUUUCUCAAUGGCUCAUAAACAUAAAGCAAGGCAAUAUACAAAUAAAAAUGAAUUGGGAUGAAACAAUGUGUGUGAGGAU